CCUCAGUUUCCUCUCAGGCGCAGAGAGAGCUCAGCCCUCCACUCUGUAAAUGCAGCUGUAAUAAAGCUCCUCCUGUGUUUCUCAGUGUGGAAAUUGGGAAUGAACAAACAAUACCAAACACGCAGGCAUGUCACGACCCUUUCUUAGCCUGUUGGGAUUACAUCGUGUGGCACACAAGUGUUCACUGGUGCAACUAGAAAUGUGUGAAUAUUCUUGGCAUUUGCAGACAUCUCAGAGUGUUUUGAACCUGAAGGACUCUUUCAAGCCUCUGCUUUUAUGAACUUUUAUGAACAACAAACUGAAAGGUUUCCUGUGACCUGGAGGAGGGGUUAGGAUACAUGCUUUGGCCAUCAAGACAGAAAACCCAGCUCUUCAAUGUCAACAGGAAAGUUUCAACUCCUUUAUCCACAAAAAUAAUUUAAUUUUCUUAUGAAAAGGAAAUCUACUGUCUUUGCUUCUUCUCCGCCUCUACCGCUUCUCUGCAGGUGUCCCUGACCUCCAUGCAGAGCAGGGGGAUGAGGCAGGAUUCUCAGAACUGAACUUUCCACACACAAGUUGUGACUGUGUUCACAGAGUUGAAGUCCAAGUCCCCUCCUUUGCUGCUGCCUGACCUACCUCCAGCUUUGUCAGCCUGGUGAAGACAUCCUUCAUUCAUGGUGCUCCCUUAUUCAUGUGUCAAAUAUCUCCAAGAUUUGCUCCACUAUUUGACAGGAUGUAAUUAAUGCAGGGGUGAGCUUGGCCCAACACACCUAAAUAUUAGUUUAUGUUCCUACUUCUACAGUAGCAUUAGUAGAAGGCCCACAUCCAUGUAAAUACCAGCAUUCUCUCUGCUACUUUCUGUCUUAUUUUAGCCUCCUAUUUGCAAAUCUGCUGGAAUCCUUUGCAUUAUGUAUCAUUGAACUGUUUCUGUGAGACUUGAGCUUGGCUGCAACUGGGAUUCCUUUACUUUUUGUUUUUAAAGUUAGUAUCCUAAAGAAAGGAAAAUAAACAUAAAGUCAGAAUUUCCUGUGGGACA
This 1015-nucleotide long non-coding RNA is filed under the name Zonotrichia albicollis (white-throated sparrow). Its description in RNAcentral is "lncRNA (ENSZALG00000016981.1)". The record is from RNAcentral. Lineage: Eukaryota; Metazoa; Chordata; Aves; Passeriformes; Passerellidae.